UGUGCAGCCUGGCCGGUUGCCCGCAGCAUUCUACCUGCCGCAUCGGGAAAGGCUGAACCUCGAUGGAGAAGAAAAGGAGACUCCACUGUACGGAACGCUCUCCUGUGCGCAUGCUCCGAGAGAUUUCAUGCCAGGCGGAAGGCACAAGAUACUCCGAUAAUUAAGUAUCAAAGGUUGAUGGAGCGCCAUGGAAAUUCACCGAAGGCUGCUAGCCAGGAGGCUCAAGAAGGAAUUGUCAAAAAGGAGAACUAUCCAGACAUUGUCUUUGCAGCCUAAACAGGAAAGAAAACUCAUAGAAUGGUGGAGUGCCUACAGCAAAGGUAAGAGUGGUAACCAUGGAGAAGCACUGCUCCAGAUGCUCAUUCUAGGAAGGAGCUGAUACCCAGGUGAAGAGGGGCUUCAGCAGACAGACUCCAGCUGUCGGUGCCUUCAGGGUCUGCUCAGGUGUGGAGAACUGCCUUGCCCGAUAUCACAGCCUU
Aethalodelphis obliquidens (Pacific white-sided dolphin) is the source of this 479-nucleotide long non-coding RNA. RefSeq lists it as uncharacterized. The transcript is spliced from 3 exons. Lineage: Eukaryota; Metazoa; Chordata; Mammalia; Artiodactyla; Delphinidae. The record is from RefSeq and is a predicted model, not a curated record.